AGAGUUUGAUCCUGGCUCAGGAUAAACGCUGGCGGCGUGCCUAACACAUGCAAGUCGCGCGUCCUGUCUUUCCGCAAGGAGAGAGAGGGAGUGGCGGACGGGUGAGUAACACAUGGGUACCUGCCUUCAGGUGAGGAAUACCCCCGGGAAACCGGGGACAAGACCGCAUAGCCUCUCUGUUUUGCGAGAAAGAGAGAGGAAAGUCCUUCUUCGGAGGGACGCCUGGAGAGGGGCCUGUGGCCGAUUAGCUGGCUGGUGGGGUAAGAGCCUACCAGGGCGAUGAUCGGUAGCUGGUCUGAGAGGACGAGCAGCCACACUGGGAUUGAGAACGGCCCAGACUCCUACGGGGGGCAGCAGUGAGGAAUUUUCCGCAAUGGGCGCAAGCCUGACGGAGCAACGCCGCGUGCAGGAGGACGGCCUUCGGGUUGUAAACUGCUUUUCUGGGGGACGAGGAAGCAAGGACGGUACCCCAGGAAGAGGCCCCGGCUCACUACGUGCCAGCAGCCGCGGUAAUAC
Molecule: ribosomal RNA, 516 nt
Filed under: uncultured bacterium
Lineage: Bacteria
Description: bacterial SSU rRNA
Rfam family: Bacterial small subunit ribosomal RNA
Source: RNAcentral